GUGAUAUGUCUGGACUGCUGAUGGAGGGAUACUACUGACGUAGCUAUACCGAUACGUCGCAGACAAGAGGGGACUCGGGCUCUGCAUCAGAUGUGCCCAGAUGGGAUUAGCUAGUAGGUGGGGUACGGCCACCUAGCGAAGAUCCUACUGGCUGAAAGGAUGACCACCACACUGACUGAAACACGGUCCAAACUCCUACGGAGGCACAUGGGGAAUAUUGCCAAUGGGCGCAAGCCUGAUGCAGCCAUGCCGCGUGUAUGAAGAAGGCCUUCGGGUUGUAAAGUACUUUCAGCGGGGAGGAAGGUGUUGUGGUUAAUAACCACAGCAAUUGACGUUACCCGCAAAAAGCACCGGCUAACUCCGUGCCAGCAGCCGCGGUAAUACGGAGGGUGCAAGCGUUAAUCGGAAUUACUGGGCGUAAAGCGCACGCAGGCGGUCUGUCAAGUCGGAUGUGAAAUCCCCGGGCUCAACCUGGGAACUGCAUUCGAAACUGGCAGGCUANAGUCUUGUAGAGGGGGGUAGAAUUCCAGGUGUAGCGGUGAAAUGCGUAAGAUCUGGAGGAAUACCGGUGGCGAAGGCGGCCCCCUGGACAAAGACUGA
This 600-nucleotide ribosomal RNA is filed under the name uncultured bacterium. RNAcentral's name for it is "bacterial SSU rRNA". It matches the Rfam family "Bacterial small subunit ribosomal RNA", at positions 108 to 743 of the family's 1533-position model. The record is from RNAcentral.